Molecule: long non-coding RNA, 505 nt
Filed under: Gallus gallus (chicken)
Lineage: Eukaryota; Metazoa; Chordata; Aves; Galliformes; Phasianidae
Source: RNAcentral
CGACGUGUCCCCAUGCUGAGCCAUAGGGCACAACCACCCCACGGCUCCGGGCAGCGCAUGGCACAAAGUUGGUGGCACAUCCCGUGCGCGCGCAGAGAGCGCAGUGCCAGCAUGGGCUGUGCAGGGCUGCACCCCACCGAGCCAACCUGCGCCUGGCAGCCAGCAUGCAAGGUGUGCACACGGGCACGCUGCUCCUCGGUGCUGCCCCUGCACCGCUACGAACCUGAGACGUUGACGGAGAAGUAGGUGGUCUCGCUCCCCGAGGGGCUGUUGGUCAUGCAGGCAUAGAGCCCCGAGUCCUCGGGCACCGCGUCCCGCACCUCUACCUCCUCGCCGGUGAUGCGCGUGCGGUUGUUCUCGGGCAGCUGCACUCCAUCACGCACCCAGUUGAUGCUCUGCACGUCAUCGCGCAGCCGGCAGCGCAGCUGGAGGAGAUCGCCGGGGUGCGCCGAGUGGGACUCCACCUCGAUGUUCGCUUUGGGCAGAGCUUGGUCGGGCAGCGUGG